RNAcentral lists this ribosomal RNA (497 nucleotides) under uncultured bacterium. RNAcentral's name for it is "partial 16S ribosomal RNA". It matches the Rfam family "Bacterial small subunit ribosomal RNA", at positions 28 to 507 of the family's 1533-position model. The record is from RNAcentral.
GACGAACGCUGGCGGCGUGCCUAAUACAUGCAAGUUGAGCGAUGAAGAUUGGUGCUUGCACCAAUUUGAAGAGCAGCGAACGGGUGAGUAACGCGUGGGGAAUCUGCCUUUGAGCGGGGGACAACAUUUGGAAACGAAUGCUAAUACCGCAUAACAACUUUAAACAUAAGUUUUAAGUUUGAAAGAUGCAAUUGCAUCACUCAAAGAUGAUCCCGCGUUGUAUUAGCUAGUUAGUGAGGUAAAGGCUCACCAAGGCGAUGAUACAUAGCCGACCUGAGAGGGUGAUCGGCCACAUUGGGACUGAGACACGGCCCAAACUCCUACGGGAGGCAGCAGUAGGGAAUCUUCGGCAAUGGACGAAAGUCUGACCGAGCAACGCCGCGUGAGUGAAGAAGGGUUUCGGAUCGUAAAACUCUGUUGGUAGAGAAGAACGUUGGUGAGAGUGGAAAGCUCAUCAAGUGACGGUAACUACCCAGAAAGGGACGGCUAACUACGUG